Molecule: ribosomal RNA, 402 nt
Filed under: uncultured bacterium
Lineage: Bacteria
Description: bacterial SSU rRNA
Rfam family: Bacterial small subunit ribosomal RNA
Source: RNAcentral
UGGGGAAUAUUGGACAAUGGGCGCAAGCCUGAUCCAGCCAUGCCGCGUGAGUGAUGAAGGCCCUAGGGUUGUAAAGCUCUUUUGUGCGGGAAGAUAAUGACUGUACCGCAAGAAUAAGCCCCGGCUAACUUCGUGCCAGCAGCCGCGGUAAUACGAAGGGGGCUAGCGUUGCUCGGAGUCACUGGGCGUAAAGGGUGCGUAGGCGGGUCUUUAAGUCAGGGGUGAAAUCCUGGAGCUCAACUCCAGAACUGCCUUUGAUACUGAGGAUAUUGAGUUCGGGAGAGGUGAGUGGAACUGCGAGUGUAGAGGUGAAAUUCGUAGAUAUUCGCAAGAACACCAGUGGCGAAGGCGGCUCACUGGCCCGAUACUGACGCUGAGGCACGAAAGCGUGGGGAGCAAACA